CCACCGUAACUGGACAAAAUUAGGAAGUACAUAAUAGGUUCACUAUACACAAUAUGAUGCACUGAAACAAAAGUUGGUCACUAUCUUUACAAACAAAACCUCUUAUUUAAAAUCUAAAAGGUACAUAAUGUCUACAAUAAUAUGUAUCCAAAAAUGAGGCUAAUAAAUAAUCACUGUAGAUCCAUGCAGGACAGACAUAGAAAUAAUGCCAAUCUUGAUUCUAGGGGUGCAUAACACUUCAAUCAUGAUAAUGCAAGGGAAACGGUAAGAGUUCUUCCACUUUUCGGGCUUUGACUCAUUGCUAAGCAAAACAAGCCAAACAAAUCAUUAAGCAUUCUCUCAAUUAAGUUACUUAAUUUGAACUCAAGCCACACAAUCAAAUAACAGUAAGUUUAAAGAUAUCUAAUUGGGCCUAGAACAACAAAGCCUAAAGAAGUGUCAGAUGUUUUAAAUGAGGUCCUUUAAUCUCUAUAUCUUGACUAAUAAUCUGCACAUAGAACAGCAAAAACAUAUUCCAAGGAAAAUGAAGAAAAUUCUCUUAACAAAUUUAGCAAGUCAGCAAAAUGUUGAACUCAAAGUCAUAGCUCAGGAAAUCCUCAUCAAUCCAUUUUAGCUGUGAGGAGUAAAGACAAGUUAAAUUAAAUAGCUAUCAAUGAUACAGUCAACCAAACACAGUAGCUCUAGUAUGGUAAAAGAAUAUUGAAAUGGUCAAAUAAUAGUGAAUUUCCCAAAGAAUAGGAAACUUAAAUGACCAAUGCCUAUCUUAGCGCCAAGUAACCCAAGGGUCUUUUCUUGAAACUUAAUCCCUAACUUUUUCUUAACAUUUUAAUCAUUACAGUAAUGACCAUAAUGAUUUCAGUAUCAGUAUUUCAACUUACACUUUUUCCCACACCUUUCUUCUUUUCUUUUACGUCCCUCCUCAUACUGCCAAUGCCUCUCAUCCUUUUUUCAACAAGUUUAUACCUAUAAAUAUUGAAGUUCAAGAAAUGAACCCAAAAGGUUAAAGAUGAAAUAUACAAAUUUAUUACCAAGUAAAACUUACUCUAACAACAAAAGUGUAAUCAAUCUAUAAAAUUAAUCAAUGAAAAGAAACUAAUGAUUCGUUAUUCAAAAGCCCAUCAAAAGAAGAUGACAUUUUCACACUACAAAAUAGUCUAUCUAGAUAGCCAAAUAAGGAAGCUGACAUGCUAUGGAGUUCCAAAUACGGAUGUGCACAAUAUCUGCUCAACCAAGUCACCUAGUUUAAGAUAUUCUCACCUGUCAAUUAAGUAGAACUUAUACUAUCAUUAAAACCCAAAAAAGGAAAAACAACAAUAAAAGGUGAACAAACAACUACUUAAAGGCUAUCUUCACCAUUUGUUUAUUCCUGGACCACAAAUAAAGAUUGCUUCUUCCUGUAGUGGAUACCAGAAAAAGAAGAAAGAAGAAAGAAAAGGUCAGAGAUAAAAAUCUGAUGAGGAAAAAUUUAUCCCUGAGAAAUUGCAAUGGCAAAGCACCUUCAGUUGUGUAGACAAUCAUCUCUCUAGUCUUACUCUCAAACAUAUACUACUUUAGAAAUAUUGACUUGUCCUAAAAGAUGCAGAGACAGAAAUUGCAUGAAGACCAGGUCUCAUAUUCAAUGAAAAAACAAGAAAAGAACAAAAGGAUUCAACUUUUAACUGAGCAAAAAAUGAGUCCUGAACCAGUUUAGAGGUUUCUUCGAAAAAUCUUUAAACUUCUUUGCAAAAGUGAAAGUGAAAAGUCUUAACCUCGACCCUUUUGUUCCAUAUUAGUUAAUGUUAUUUAUCAUUUAACUUCUGAUUUAACAGAUGCACUUGAUAUAAUUUUGGCAGAUUUCAUUGUGACAGGUAAAAAGAUUCACUCAAAGCUAGUAUUUAAAAAAAGAAUAUUAAAAUCUAAAAACAAAAGGCCCAAAGUAUCGUGAAAAAUAUAGGAGCAGGAGUUUUACCACAAUUUUUUGCCAUCGUCCACAAACCUCUAUCAUAGAGGGAAAGAGGGAAGGUCACAAAUUGAAAAAAGAAACAAACCAGAGCAAAAAACUUGUGGGCUAAAAAGUUUCUUACCACAGAGGUUGUUCUUCCUCACUCUGUAAAAAUGCAAAUUGUAAUAUGAAAGUAUAAAUGAAGUAAAAAGACAGGAAAAAUCACAGAUGAAUGUGCGCCAAGAAAAGAAGCAAUCAGUGUUUCUAUAACAGGGGCUCUAGAAUGCAUAGGUGUUUUAGGGAUUAAAUGCUUCUAGAAUGCUUUAAGAAACCACUAUAACUCAUACUUUCUGUCAAACAGCACCAGAAAAAAUGUUUACAGAGGAAAACAUUGAUGUUCAUGCCUAUUUUUUAGCUAAAACCUAAUAAAUUUAUCUUCCUUUCUAUAAAAAUAAUAGUAUAAUCCAAUAAAAUAAAAGACAAAAUAAAAACUUCAAGUGAUUUGAGAGUAGAGACUGAAAUUAAAAGGACAAAGUUUUUAUUGGCAAUAAAUAAAUAAACAAAUAAAUCAAUAGAUAAAUAAAGCAGAACAGAC
RNAcentral lists this long non-coding RNA (2516 nucleotides) under Coffea arabica (coffee). Its description in RNAcentral is "long non-coding RNA (CARA_LNC002434)". The record is from RNAcentral. Lineage: Eukaryota; Viridiplantae; Streptophyta; Magnoliopsida; Gentianales; Rubiaceae.